Molecule: ribosomal RNA, 253 nt
Filed under: uncultured bacterium
Lineage: Bacteria
Description: partial 16S ribosomal RNA
Rfam family: Bacterial small subunit ribosomal RNA
Source: RNAcentral
UACGUAGGGUGCGAGCGUUGUCCGGAAUUCUUGGGCGUAAAGAGCUCGUAGGUUGCUUGUCGCGUCUGCCGUGAAAGCCCGUGGCUUAACUACGGGUCUGCGGUGGAUACGGGCAGGCUAGAGUGCGGUAGGGGAGACUGGAAUUCCUGGUGUAGCGGUGAAAUGCGCAGAUAUCAGGAGGAACACCGGUGGCGAAGGCGGCCUGCUGGGCAGUAGCUGACGCUGAGGCGCGACAGCGCGGGGAGCAAACAGG